CCCUUAGAUGUCCUGGGCCGCACGCGCGUUACACUGAUGUAUUCAACGAGCUUAUAACCUUGGCCGAGAGGCCUGGGCAAUCUUGUUAACGUGCAUCGUGAUAGGGAUAGAUUAUUGAAAUUAUUAAUCUUGAACGAGGAAUUCCUAGUAAACGCAGAUCAUCAAUCUGCAUUGAUUACGUCCCUGCCCUUUGUACACACCGCCCGUCGCACCUACCGAUUGGAUGGUCCGGUGAAGCCUCGGGAUUGUGGUUCUUGCCGCUUUAUUGUAGCGUGACCGCGAGAACUUGUCUAAACCUUAUCAUCUAGAGGAAGGUGAAGUCGUAACA
Molecule: ribosomal RNA, 328 nt
Filed under: uncultured eukaryote
Lineage: Eukaryota
Description: partial 18S ribosomal RNA
Rfam family: Eukaryotic small subunit ribosomal RNA
Source: RNAcentral